GACUGAGGUUACCUUGUUACAUAAGGUUGAGUUAUACCUUCACGUUCUCCUGAGCCAGGAUCAAACUCUUCAGUCAUGACUGACUGAGGUUACCUUGUUACGACUUCACCCCAAUCAUCGCCCCCACCUUCGACGGUCGGUUCCUUUCGGCCCUUAGCCGGCUUCGGGUGUGAAUGACUUUCGUGGUGUGACGGGCGGUGUGUACAAGGCCCGGGAACGUAUUCACCGCAGUAUGCUGACCUGCGAUACUAACGAUCCGACUCAUGCAAGCGAAUUUUAA
Molecule: ribosomal RNA, 280 nt
Filed under: uncultured bacterium
Lineage: Bacteria
Description: partial 16S ribosomal RNA
Source: RNAcentral